CCUGAACUCAGACGGAA
RNAcentral lists this ribosomal RNA (17 nucleotides) under Globodera rostochiensis. Its description in RNAcentral is "partial 28S ribosomal RNA". The record is from RNAcentral. Lineage: Eukaryota; Metazoa; Nematoda; Chromadorea; Rhabditida; Heteroderidae.